UCUCUGUAUCUCUCUCUCUCUCUAUUUGGUUAUCUCGCCAACCUCUCCUCCAAUUAUUUUCAACUGCCCUUAGUCCCCCAUUCAAUCUCCAACAAUCUUAAACCACCAGAAUAUCAGUAUAUUCUGGGCCUAUCUCUUGGGUGGUCUCUCUCUCUCAUUCCACGCCCACUACCCCAUUCUUUUCUGUUUGUUUCCAUAUUACCAAUGAACCAAACACCACUUUCAGCUAUAUAUUAAGGCUUAGAACUUUGAGAUUGAGAAGUUCUAUGGUCAAAGAAAACACCACCAAGCGAAUUGAUCCAAGAAAAGUGAGGCAAAGAGAUGGAUUUCCAAUGCGGUUUGAGGACAGUGGAAAAAGAGAAGAGGAGCUGUAGAAAAGAGGAAUCCAUUGGAG
Molecule: unclassified non-coding RNA, 394 nt
Filed under: Hevea brasiliensis (rubber tree)
Lineage: Eukaryota; Viridiplantae; Streptophyta; Magnoliopsida; Malpighiales; Euphorbiaceae
Source: RNAcentral